UCUGUAUCAGAUCUGGAUGGUUUCAUUGAGAUCGGGGAGCCCUUUAUAAAAUUUUCAAAUCAAUGAACUGAUGAAUGGCAGCCACCAGAAUCACAAACUUGCCUUUGCGUACACCAGCUAGAUUCUGCCAGAUUUCCAGAUGUGGAUUUUGCAUCGUGCGAAAGAUCAAACAAAAGCACGGAAAUUAACAGGAUCAACUGAGGACUCCUCCUUCCUUGUGGGUACACGCUUUUGGAACGGGCUUGCCUGGGCGCUCUGCCAAACUCCGACUCCAGUAAGUUCAGGCACAUAUGGUAAGAUCUUUAUAUUUAUUUUAGCCCUUUUCCUGGUUUUCGUUUUAGCCUAAGGGGCUGGAGAAUUUGGGUCUGGUUUUAUUUUCUAACAACAAGAAGACACCAAUUCUUCAUUGUCCCCCCCAUUACAGAGAGACUUGGGUGUAAUUUAUCAUUUUAUUAACUUUGUAAACAAGUGGCUAGCAACUAUGGCAAAAGUUGCUGUGUAAAUCAAUAAAGCAACAAAGAAGACAACACUUUUAAUUAGCUUUAAAAUGGCAUUAGUUGCACAAUCUGUCACCCAGCUAAUGUUUGGGAGGCUGCACAUAUUAGCACAAUUUAGGUCCAGGGUGGCAGAACCGGGUGCACCCAACAACGAAUAUUUACAGUAAGACAUUAAACAACUCCUUUGAUGCAAGUCUAUGGAAGAAACUGUGAACAGACCAAAAGCUGUUAAGCGGCUGGCAAAAUCAUGUUCUACAUAGAAUUGCAGAGCUGAAAGGGACCCUAAGGAGCAUCUAGUCUUGUGGUCUCGUUGUGAACCACCCUGAGACCUCUGGGUAUAGGGCAGUGCAUGAGUUGAAUAAAUAAUAAAUAGUCCAACCUCCUCCAAUGCAGCUGUCCCAUAUGGGGAUCAAACCUGCAGCCUUGACAUUAUCAUGCUUAUAUGAAA
Molecule: non-coding RNA, 945 nt
Organism: Podarcis muralis (Common wall lizard)
Lineage: Eukaryota; Metazoa; Chordata; Lepidosauria; Squamata; Lacertidae
Source: RefSeq, a predicted model, not a curated record